UACGAGAGGCUCAACCGUUAUUCGGAAUUACUGGGCUUAAAGAGUUCGUAGGCGGCGCAGAAAGUAGGGUGUGAAAGCCCUCGGCUCAACCGAGGAAUUGCGCUCUAAACUACUGUGCUUGAGGAAGCUAGAGGUGAGCGGAACUGAUGGUGGAGCGGUGAAAUGCGUUGAUAUCAUCAGGAACACCGGAGGCGAAGGCGGCUCACUGGGGCUUUUCUGACGCUGAGGAACGAAAGCCAGGGGAGCGAACGGG
This 253-nucleotide ribosomal RNA is filed under the name uncultured bacterium. Its description in RNAcentral is "partial 16S ribosomal RNA". It matches the Rfam family "Bacterial small subunit ribosomal RNA", at positions 524 to 776 of the family's 1533-position model. The record is from RNAcentral.